AUUGAACGCUGGCGGCAGGCCUAACACAUGCAAGUCGAGCGGAUGAAGGGAGCUUGCUCCUGGAUUCAGCGGCGGACGGGUGAGUAAUGCCUAGGAAUCUGCCUGGUAGUGGGGAUAACGUCCGGAAACGGGCGCUAAUACCGCAUACGUCCUGAGGGAGAAAGUGGGGGAUCUUCGGACCUCACGCUAUCAGAUGAGCCUAGGUCGGAUUAGCUAGUUGGUGGGGUAAAGGCCUACCAAGGCGACGAUCCGUAACUGGUCUGAGAGGAUGAUCAGUCACACUGGAACUGAGACACGGUCCAGACUCCUACGGGAGGCAGCAGUGGGGAAUAUUGGACAAUGGGCGAAAGCCUGAUCCAGCCAUGCCGCGUGUGUGAAGAAGGUCUUCGGAUUGUAAAGCACUUUAAGUUGGGAGGAAGGGCAGUAAGUUAAUACCUUGCUGUUUUGACGUUACCAACAGAAUAAGCACCGGCUAACCUCGUG
This 483-nucleotide ribosomal RNA is filed under the name uncultured bacterium. RNAcentral describes it as "partial 16S ribosomal RNA". It matches the Rfam family "Bacterial small subunit ribosomal RNA", at positions 30 to 507 of the family's 1533-position model. The record is from RNAcentral.